RNAcentral lists this ribosomal RNA (247 nucleotides) under uncultured bacterium. RNAcentral describes it as "partial 16S ribosomal RNA". It matches the Rfam family "Bacterial small subunit ribosomal RNA", at positions 86 to 334 of the family's 1533-position model. The record is from RNAcentral.
AGAUGGCGACCGGCGCACGGGUGAGUAACACGUAUCCAACCUGCCGAUAACUCGGGGAUAGCCUUUCGAAAGAAAGAUUAAUACCCGAUGGUAUAAUUAGACCGCAUGGUCUUGUUAUUAAAGAAUUUCGGUUAUCGAUGGGGAUGCGUUCCAUUAGGCAGUUGGUGAGGUAACGGCUCACCAAACCUUCGAUGGACAGGGGUUCUGAGAGGAAGGUCCCCCACAUUGGAACUGAGACACGGUCCAA